AGACGUCUACAUUAGAUACCCCUGUAGUCCCAGCCCUAAACGAUGCGCGUUAGGUGUAUCGGUGACCACGAGUCACCGAGGUGCCGAAGGGAAACCGUGAAACGUGCCGCCUGGGAAGUACGGUCGCAAGACUGAAACUUAAAGGAAUUGGCGGGGAGCACCACAACGCGUGGAGCCUGCGGUUUAAUUGGACUCAACGCCGGGAAGCUCACCGGAUAAGACAGCGGAAUGAUUGCCGGGCUGAAGACCCUGCAUGACCAGCUG
This 264-nucleotide ribosomal RNA is filed under the name uncultured archaeon. RNAcentral's name for it is "partial 16S ribosomal RNA". It matches the Rfam family "Archaeal small subunit ribosomal RNA", at positions 714 to 982 of the family's 1478-position model. The record is from RNAcentral.